GUCUGUUUGGAGUUAAAGUCGCCGGGGCGGAUGCUCGCUUUCCGUCCAGGAUUGAAUUCUCAAGGCCAGUCUUGUCUGAGGAAGCAGCAGCGUGGACGAGGAGGAAGAGGAAAGGAAGGAGUCAGGAAUGGCUGGCUGUCAG
Neogale vison (American mink) is the source of this 142-nucleotide long non-coding RNA. RefSeq lists it as uncharacterized. NCBI's taxonomy places the organism in Eukaryota, Metazoa, Chordata, Mammalia, Carnivora, Mustelidae. The record is from RefSeq and is a predicted model, not a curated record. The transcript has 2 exons.